Molecule: transfer RNA, 72 nt
Filed under: Camelus bactrianus (Bactrian camel)
Lineage: Eukaryota; Metazoa; Chordata; Mammalia; Artiodactyla; Camelidae
Also listed under: 2 other names
Rfam family: tRNA
About the family: Transfer RNA (tRNA) molecules are approximately 80 nucleotides in length. Their secondary structure includes four short double-helical elements and three loops (D, anti-codon, and T loops).
Source: Rfam by way of RNAcentral
AGGGCCAUAGCUCAGUGGUAGAGUGCGUGCUUAGCAUGCACGAAGUCCUGGGUUCAAUCCUCAGUAUCUCCA